RNAcentral lists this small nuclear RNA (106 nucleotides) under Peromyscus maniculatus bairdii (prairie deer mouse). Lineage: Eukaryota; Metazoa; Chordata; Mammalia; Rodentia; Cricetidae. The record is from RNAcentral.
GUGCUCAUUUUGACGGCAUAUAUACCAGAACUGGAAUAAUACAGCAGAGAUUAACACAACCCCGAGCAAGGGGGACAUGCAAAAUUGUGAAGUUGCUUUUUUGCUU